GACGAACGCUGGCGGCGUGCUUAACACAUGCAAGUCGAGCGGUAAGGCCCUUUCGGGGGUACACGAGCGGCGAACGGGUGAGUAACACGUGGGUGACCUGCCCUCAGCUCUGGGAUAAGCCCGGGAAACCGGGUCUAAUACCGGAUAUGACUCCAUGACGCAUGUUGUGGGGUGGAAAGCCUUGUGCGGCUGAGGAUGGGCCCGCGGCCUAUCAGCUUGUUGGUGGGGUGAUGGCCACCAAGGCGACGACGGGUAGCCGGCCUGAGAGGGCGACCGGCCACACUGGGACUGAGACACGGCCCAGACUCCUACGGGAGGCAGCAGUGGGGAAUCUUGCGCAAU
Molecule: ribosomal RNA, 342 nt
Filed under: uncultured bacterium
Lineage: Bacteria
Description: bacterial SSU rRNA
Rfam family: Bacterial small subunit ribosomal RNA
Source: RNAcentral